CGUAAAUCUUAGUAAUCUUUUACAAAAAUCUUCUCCUCUGAAACUACUGGGCCAAAUUAAACCAAACUUGGCCACAAUCAUCAUUGGGGUAUCUUGUUUAAAAAUUGUGUUCGGUGACCCGGUCAACUAUUCAAGAUGGCCGCCAUGGCUAAAAAUAGAACAUAGGGGUAAAAUGCAGUUUUUGGCUUAUAACUCAAAAACCAAAGCAUUAAGAGCAAAUCU
Molecule: long non-coding RNA, 222 nt
Filed under: Mytilus galloprovincialis (Mediterranean mussel)
Lineage: Eukaryota; Metazoa; Mollusca; Bivalvia; Mytilida; Mytilidae
Source: RNAcentral